RNAcentral lists this ribosomal RNA (595 nucleotides) under Corynebacterium freiburgense. RNAcentral's name for it is "bacterial SSU rRNA". It matches the Rfam family "Bacterial small subunit ribosomal RNA", at positions 180 to 774 of the family's 1533-position model. The record is from RNAcentral. Lineage: Bacteria; Bacillati; Actinomycetota; Actinomycetes; Mycobacteriales; Corynebacteriaceae.
CCAUGCUUUUGUGUGUCAUGGUGGAAAGGCUUCUGUUUUGGGGGCUGGUGUGGGAUGAGCUUGCGGCCUAUCAGCUUGUUGGUGGGGUAAUGGCCUACCAAGGCGUCGACGGGUAGCCGGCCUGAGAGGGUGUACGGCCACAUUGGGACUGAGAUACGGCCCAGACUCCUGCGGGAGGCAGCAGUGGGGAAUAUUGCACAAUGGGCGCAAGCCUGAUGCAGCGACGCCGCGUGAGGGAUGACGGCCUUCGGGUUGUAAACCUCUUUCGCUGGGGACGAAGCUUUUUUGGUGACGGUACCUGGAGAAGAAGCACCGGCUAACUACGUGCCAGCAGCCGCGGUAAUACGUAGGGUGCGAGCGUUGUCCGGAAUUACUGGGCGUAAAGAGCUCGUAGGUGGUUUGUCGCGUCGUCUGUGAAAUUCCGGGGCUUAACUUCGGGCGUGCAGGCGAUACGGGCAUAACUUGAGUGCUGUAGGGGAGACUGGAAUUCCUGGUGUAGCGGUGAAAUGCGCAGAUAUCAGGAGGAACACCGAUGGCGAAGGCAGGUCUCUGGGCAGUAACUGACGCUGAGGAGCGAAAGCAUGGGUAGCGAACA